Molecule: long non-coding RNA, 413 nt
Filed under: Apteryx owenii (little spotted kiwi)
Lineage: Eukaryota; Metazoa; Chordata; Aves; Apterygiformes; Apterygidae
Description: lncRNA (ENSAOWG00000006652.1)
Source: RNAcentral
AUGCCUAAAAUUAGGCCUAAAAAUUAUACUCUUUUAGGCAGCUGUGCACCUGCCACUCACUUGAAGUCAAUUGGACCGACAGAUGCUGCUCCCAGAGGAAGGAAGAAGAGUGCGAGGGGCUUUGUGCUGAGGUAUCCUUGGAAGAAGGCCCAUAAAAACAUGGCAAUUAUCCUCAUCUCAGCUUGCCUAUUGAGAAAUAAUCAAACCUAUGAUGAGCCUUUUGACCUGUCAGACCUCUUAACUGAACUAUAACUGAAGAGAUUCACCAUAAAAAGGUCCAGCUGAGAAAGUGAAGAAGAAACCUGUCAGGAUGCCAUUACAAGCACUGUAUAUCAGAAACCCACUGGAUGGUAAGCCUAGCUCAAACACUAACUUUGUUUUUGCAAAGCAGGAAACGUUGCUUAAAUUCAUAU